GAUGAACGCUGGCGGCGUGCCUAAUACAUGCAAGUCGAGCGAAUGGAUUAAGAGCUUGCUCUUAUGAAGUUAGCGGCGGACGGGUGAGUAACACGUGGGUAACCUGCCCAUAAGACUGGGAUAACUCCGGGAAACCGGGGCUAAUACCGGAUAACAUUUUGAACCGCAUGGUUCGAAAUUGAAAGGCGGCUUCGGCUGUCACUUAUGGAUGGACCCGCGUCGCAUUAGCUAGUUGGUUAGGUAACGGAUGAACAAGGCAACGAUGCGUAGCCGACCUGAGAGGGUGAUCGGCCACACUGGGACUGAGACACGGCCCAGACUCCUACGGGAGGCAGCAGUAGGGAAUCUUCCGCAAUGGACGAAAGUCUGACGGAGCAACGCCGCGUGAGUGAUGAAGGCUUUCGGGUCGUAAAACUCUGUUGUUAGGGAAGAACAAGUGCUAGUUGAAUAAGCUGGCACCUUGACGGUACCUAACCAGAAAGCCACGGCUAACUACGUGCCAGCCGCCGCCGUAA
RNAcentral lists this ribosomal RNA (515 nucleotides) under uncultured bacterium. RNAcentral describes it as "partial 16S ribosomal RNA". It matches the Rfam family "Bacterial small subunit ribosomal RNA", at positions 28 to 523 of the family's 1533-position model. The record is from RNAcentral.